AACGUUAAAACUAAGUUUAACCCUUAAAUGACUUCUGUCUAUUUCAGUUUACACAACUCAGCAGAGUCUCCAUAACCAUAAACAUAAAGUCCAGCAUAGAGGGGCUGAGUGAAUGUGGUCUGGACU
Long non-coding RNA from Sander lucioperca (pikeperch), 126 nucleotides. RefSeq lists it as uncharacterized. The record is from RefSeq and is a predicted model, not a curated record. The transcript has 3 exons. Lineage: Eukaryota; Metazoa; Chordata; Actinopteri; Perciformes; Percidae.